UUGGCUAUCAAGUCUAAGUUAAUACAUAGUUAAAACGGUUUGACACCUUAAUUACAUGGUUUAAAGCGUGUCUAGACGCGUUCGACCCAACUAAUUUGUGUGAAACUUGUUAUAGUAAUCGUGUUAACUGUGUUAGUAGUUUCACACAACACGUUUAACCUUUGUAUUAAAACGACUUAGUUUUGUAACCUUUGUAAAUAAGCUUAGAGGAAGUAAUCUGAGUAAAGUGAAGAAGCCGCAUUUGGAUCAGCUUUUAUAAGAACCCUAGAGUUGAGUUUAGCGGAACGUUUUCUAAGUAGAUCAGGUAAAAUCAACAACUUUGAAUCAGUGAGUUUUAGCGGGUAUCAAAAAGAUUGAUUCACAAAUUAGUUUCUUUCCCGGUAAGAUCAGUUAUCAUAAAUUUUCAAAUCGUGUCAUAUUUGGUAAUUGGUUUAUGUAAAUCUUGAUUGAUUCCAUUGUAUUCUGGUAGUGUAUCUAUGUUUCUAUGUUACAAAGUGCUUUAUUCAUGCGUGAUUCUAUAUUUUUUUUAAGUAUAUUAUGGUUUUUUUUUAUUUCAUUAUAUGGAUGAACAAAUGAAUAGUCAAACCUACAUCAACAAAAUUGUUGAAAGUGCAGUUUGUUAUUCUAAAUUCCAUGAAAAUAUGUGGAUAUUGAGAAGAGGAAAUUGGAACACUUGGAAAUGGAAUCGAUGAAGAAAGUGUUGGCAGCGUCAACAUUCAGGGAGGCCAGAUGGCAAAUUAGCAAGUUAAGACAUUUUGUGUGUAUUUUUUAAAUUUUGUUUAUUGUAGCACAGAUUAGCUAUGCAAUGGGAGGCAUAUAUAUGCAGUUUUUUUUGAAGAAUCAAGGCCCGAUCUUACCCAAGUUCUCUAUUCGAGAAACUCAACUCAAAAAUGAUGAAGACUCUUGAUUGUGCAAAAAAGGGUUAUGCUGAACAGAAGGCUCAUACGCUCUGCGAGAGUCAAAAGAGUCAAGACGGCAAAAUUUACGGGUCAGGCGGGGUUGGUAACGGGUCAACAGGUUCCGGUUCAAGCUGGUCAUUAUGGUAGAAGUCAACAUAAUUAAGUCAAGUUGUUUUGACCCACAUACUUUUUGUCCUUUAUUUUAUCUUUUUUAUAAAUAAUGCAUCAUUUUCAUACAUAUCUCGAUUGAAAUUUUCUUGAUUCUUUGUUUCUUUUCAGAAUGUUCGAAUAACACCAUCACCAAUGGAGACCACAUUCUUAUACAACUCCACUGACAAAAGGCUGCUGAAAGAUUUUGGGGGUAUAGAAUUUUUAGUUUAGGGAAGUCAGGACUUGAUUUUUGGUUAUAUUGCUAGAUGUCAUUUUUUUGUGUAUAACAUCUGUUGAUUGA
Long non-coding RNA from Helianthus annuus (common sunflower), 1350 nucleotides. RefSeq lists it as uncharacterized. The transcript is spliced from 3 exons. NCBI's taxonomy places the organism in Eukaryota, Viridiplantae, Streptophyta, Magnoliopsida, Asterales, Asteraceae. The record is from RefSeq and is a predicted model, not a curated record.